Molecule: ribosomal RNA, 945 nt
Filed under: Bacillus sp. (in: firmicutes)
Lineage: Bacteria; Bacillati; Bacillota; Bacilli; Caryophanales; Bacillaceae
Description: bacterial SSU rRNA
Rfam family: Bacterial small subunit ribosomal RNA
Source: RNAcentral
GUUCCCCCCCCUCUUCNCCACACACAAUNCCCCCGUAGCCGACCCCCGAGGGNGAUNGGGCACAGGGGGAUUGAGACAAGGUUCAGACUCCGCCGGGAGGCAGCAGUAGGGAAUCUUUUUCAAUGNACGAAAGUCUGACGGAGCAACGCCGCGUGAGUGAUGAAGGUUUUCGGAUCGUAAAGCUCUGUUGUUAGGGAAGAACAAGUACCGUUCGAAUAGGGCGGUACNUUGACGGUACCUAACCAGAAAGCCACGGCUAACUACGUGCCAGCAGCCGCGGUAAUACGUAGGUGGCAAGCGUUGUCCGGAAUUAUUGGGCGUAAAGGGCUCGCAGGCGGUUUCUUAAGUCAGAUGUGAAAGCCCCCGGCUCAACCGGGGAGGGUCAUUGGAAACUGGGGAACUUGAGUGCAGAAGAGGAGAGUGGAAUUCCACGUGUAGCGGUGAAAUGCGUAGAGAUGUGGAGGAACACCAGUGGCGAAGGCGACUCUCUGGUCUGUAACUGACGCUGAGGAGCGAAAGCGUGGGGAGCGAACAGGAUUAGAUACCCUGGUAGUCCACGCCGUAAACGAUGAGUGCUAAGUGUUAGGGGGUUUCCGCCCCUUAGUGCUGCAGCUAACGCAUUAAGCACUCCGCCUGGGGAGUACGGUCGCAAGACUGAAACUCAAAGGAAUUGACGGGGGCCCGCACAAGCGGUGGAGCAUGUGGUUUAAUUCGAAGCAACGCGAAGAACCUUACCAGGUCUUGACAUCCUCUGACAAUCCUAGAGAUAGGACGUCCCCUUCGGGGGCAGAGUGACAGGUGGUGCAUGGUUGUCGUCNGCUCGUGUCAUGAGAGGUUGGGUUAAGUCCCGUUUUUAANCAACCCUUGAUCUUANUUGGCAGCAUUCACCUGGGUACUCUAAGGGGACUGCCGGUGAGGAACGGGACGAAAGUGCGGGUGAUUUCA